RNAcentral lists this long non-coding RNA (792 nucleotides) under Numida meleagris (helmeted guineafowl). Its description in RNAcentral is "lncRNA (ENSNMEG00000012110.1)". The record is from RNAcentral. Lineage: Eukaryota; Metazoa; Chordata; Aves; Galliformes; Numididae.
AUGGGCAUCCUGCAUGCACGGAGGCAGCCAGCUGUCCGAAAAUCCCAAGAGAGGGAUUCUUUCUUCCCCAAAGUGGUUGUUGUUGAUAUAAUAAUAAUAAUUAGGUAUUGGACCCCCACCCAGGAAAGCCAGGCACUGCCUCAGCCCUUAUCGGGCAGCAGCGGACCCGGCGCAGCGCCGUGCUGGCAGCAUGUCCCUGCCAGUGGCAUUAUGUUCCCUUUGAGAAAAAAAAAAAGCAGGAGAAUUCCCUUGCCAAAUAUUGUUCUGGUAACCGUAACUCUGGGUCUUGCCAGGUUACAGAGCUCCUGUUAUGGAGCUCCUCCAGGCUGCAACCAGUGCUAUUGUUAUUGUGAAGCACCUCUGCGCUGUUCGGCCUUUGAAGAUCCAUCCUGGAAAAGCAUCUUCUCGAAUAUCCUCGAGGCAGCGAUAGCGCUUCUGCCCGCUCCCGAGUCUAUCGAAGCGUAACGCAGGAUCCCCACCGACCGCUUUUGCAUACAAUCCUGCCAGGGCCGCCUGCCCGCACCGCUCGGGAGCAGGAACCUUCGGGGCGGCUGGGGCAGGAGCUGUCCCUUUGGCGAGCGGGGCAGCGCGGCUGUCCUGCCCGACGUGCCAUCCCCUUGCGCUUUGAUGUCCGCUGCCUUUGAGCCAUCUCUGCAUGUCAUUAGGGGCCCGGACAAUUAAAGAAGUGCCUUUGCACCCCACCCCCCCACUCCUUCCUCCCGCCCCGUCCCCGCAGCGGAGGGGAAGUCGGAAAAAAAUAAAUACAUUGACCAACAAGGCGAGCCGAUGCGG